AUUGAACGCUGGCGGCAGGCCUAACACAUGCAAGUCGGGCGGAUGAAGGGAGCUUGCUCCUGGAUUCAGCGGCGGACGGGUGAGUAAUGCCUAGGAAUCUGCCUGGUAGUGGGGGAUAACGUCCGGAAACGGGCGCUAAUACCGCAUACGUCCUGAGGGAGAAAGUGGGGGAUCUUCGGACCUCACGCUAUCAGAUGAGCCUAGGUCGGAUUAGCUAGUUGGUGGGGUAAAGGCCUACCAAGGCGACGAUCUGUAACUGGUCUGAGAGGAUGAUCAGUCACACUGGAACUGAGACACGGUCCAGACUCCUACGGGAGGCAGCAGUGGGGAAUAUUGGACAAUGGGCGAAAGCCUGAUCCAGCCAUGCCGCGUGUGUGAAGAAGGUCUUCGGAUUGUAAAGCACUUUAAGUUGGGAGGAAGGGCAGUAAGUUAAUACCUUGCUGUUUUGACGUUACCAACAGAAUAAGCACCGGCUAACUUCGUG
Molecule: ribosomal RNA, 484 nt
Filed under: uncultured bacterium
Lineage: Bacteria
Description: partial 16S ribosomal RNA
Rfam family: Bacterial small subunit ribosomal RNA
Source: RNAcentral